ACUAAGUUGAACUAACGAAGUCAGAUUGCUAAGACAGCUAGGAUGUUGGCUUGGAAGCAGCCAUUCAUUUAAAGAGUGCGUAACAGCUCACUAGUCGAGGAGUUUGGCGUGGAUAAUAAUCGGGCAUUAAGUGUUUUACCGAAGCUAUGGGAUCAGUAAUGAUCGGUAGGGGAGCAUUCCACUCUGCGUCGAAGGUGAAGCGUGAGCUUUGCUGGAGCGUGUGGAAAAGCAAAUGUAGGUAUAAGUAACGAUAAAGGGGGUGAGAAACCCCCUCGCCGAAAGACUAAGGUUUCCUGAUCAACGCUAAUCGGAUCAGGGUUAGUCGGGUCCUAAGGCUCAGCCGAACGGUGAGGCCGAUGGCAGAACAGGUUAAUAUUCCUGUACUACCUUAAGGAGUGACGUGGAGACGGAGGCGUGACAGCGCCGCGGACUGACGGAAUAGUCCGUUGAAGGGUGUAGAUGUUGAUUAUCCCAGGCAAAUCCGGGAUAAGAGUCGAACCUGAUAGUAUGGAGCGUUCUUCGGAACAAUCCAAUAGUGCGUGUAAUCAUACUCCCAAGAAAAUCCGCUAAACUUAAUCCUUAAGGUACCCGUACCGCAAACGGACACACGUAGUCGGGUUGAAUAUACUAAGGCGCUUGAGUGAUUCACGGUUAAGGAACUAGGCAAAUUGACCCUGUAACUUCGGGAUAAAGGGUCCCAACGAGAGUUGGGCGCAGAGAAUAGGUCCAGGCAACUGUUUAACAAAAACACAGGGCUGUGCCAAAUUGAAAGAUUACGUAUACAGCCUGACACCUGCCCGGUGCUGGAAGGUUAAGAGGAGAUGUCAUCGCAAGAGAAGCAUUGAAUUGAAGCCCCAGUAAACGGCGGCCGUAACUAUAACGGUCCUAAGGUAGCGAAAUUCCUUGUCGGGUAAGUUCCGACCUGCACGAAUGGUGUAAUGAUCUGGACACUGUCUCAACCGUGAGCUCAGUGAAAUUGUAGUAUCGGUGAAGAUGCCGAUUACCCGCGAUGGGACGAAAAGACCCCGUGAACCUUUACUAUAGCUUAACAUUGAAUUUGGGUAAUUGAUGUGUAGGAUAGGCCGGAGACUUUGAAGCAGGUACGCCAGUAUUUGUGGAGUCGCUGUUGAAAUACGGCCCUUUGAUUAUUUGAGUUCUAACUCGUAGAUACGAGGACACUGUUUGGUGGGUAGUUUGACUGGGGUGGUCGCCUCCAAAAGUGUAACGGAGGCUUCUAAAGGUGCCCUCAGGACGAUUGGUAACCGUCCGUAGAGUGUAAUGGCAUAAGGGCGCUUGACUGGGAGACAGACAAGUCGAUCAGGUAGGAAACUAGAGCAUAGUGAUCCGGUGUUUCCGUAUGGAAGGGACAUCGCUCAAAGGAUAAAAGGUACUCCGGGGAUAACAGGCUGAUCCCUCCCAAGAGCUCAUAUCGAC
RNAcentral lists this ribosomal RNA (1434 nucleotides) under metagenome. RNAcentral describes it as "bacterial LSU rRNA". It matches the Rfam family "Bacterial large subunit ribosomal RNA", at positions 1058 to 2509 of the family's 2925-position model. The record is from RNAcentral.